AGAGCGAACGCUGGCGGCAGGCCUAACACAUGCAAGUCGAGCGCCCGUAGCAAUACGGGAGCGGCAGACGGGAUAGUAACACGUGGGAACGCGCCCUUCGGUUCGGAAUAACUCAGGGAAACUUGAGCUAAUACCGAAUACGCCCUUACGGGGAAAGAUUUAUUGUCGAAGGAACGGCCCGCGUCCGAUUAGCUAGUUGGUGAGGUAAUGGCUCACCAAGGCUACGAUCGGUAGCUGGUCUGAGAGGAUGACCAGCAUCACUGGGACUGAGACACGGCCCAGACUCCUACGGGAGGCAGCAGUGGGGAAUAUUGGACAAUGGGCGAAAGCCUGAUCCAGCCAUGCCGCGUGGAUGAUGAAGGCCUUAGGGUUGUAAAGUCCUUUAACGGGGAAGAUAAUGACGGUACCGUAGAAUAAGCCCGGCUAACUUCGCGCCAGCAGCCGC
Molecule: ribosomal RNA, 445 nt
Filed under: uncultured bacterium
Lineage: Bacteria
Description: SSU rRNA
Rfam family: Bacterial small subunit ribosomal RNA
Source: RNAcentral